GAUGAACGCUGGCGGCGUGCUUAACACAUGCAAGUCGAGCGAGUGAGUUCUUCGGAACGAUCUAGCGGCGGACGGGUGAGUAACACGUGGGCAACCUGCCUCAUAGAGGGGAAUAGCCUCCCGAAAGGGAGAUUGAUACCGCAUAACAUCGUUGAAGGGCAUCCUUCUAUGAUCAAAGGAGCAAUCCGCUAUGAGAUGGGCCCGCGGCGCAUUAGCUAGUUGGUGAGGUAACGGCUCACCAAGGCGACGAUGCGUAGCCGACCUGAGAGGGUGAUCGGCCACAUUGGGACUGAGACACGGCCCAGACUCCUACGGGAGGCAGCAGUGGGGAAUAUUGCACAAUGGGGGAAACCCUGAUGCAGCAACGCCGCGUGAGUGAUGACGGCCUUCGGGUUGUAAAGCUCUGUCUUUGGGGACGAUAAUGACGGUACCCAAGGAGGAAGUCACGGCUAACUACGUGCCAGCAGCCGCCGUAA
This 476-nucleotide ribosomal RNA is filed under the name uncultured bacterium. RNAcentral describes it as "partial 16S ribosomal RNA". It matches the Rfam family "Bacterial small subunit ribosomal RNA", at positions 28 to 523 of the family's 1533-position model. The record is from RNAcentral.